RNAcentral lists this ribosomal RNA (537 nucleotides) under Bacillus sp. CCR4. RNAcentral's name for it is "bacterial SSU rRNA". It matches the Rfam family "Bacterial small subunit ribosomal RNA", at positions 1 to 522 of the family's 1533-position model. The record is from RNAcentral. Lineage: Bacteria; Bacillati; Bacillota; Bacilli; Caryophanales; Bacillaceae.
UGGAGAGUUUGAUCCUGGCUCAGGACGAACGCUGGCGGCGUGCCUAAUACAUGCAAGUCGAGCGGACCGAAUAGAAGCUUGCUUCUGUUUGGUUAGCGGCGGACGGGUGAGUAACACGUGGGCAACCUGCCCGUAAGACGGGGAUAACUUCGGGAAACCGGAGCUAAUACCCGAUAACCCUGAAGACCGCAUGGUCUUUAGUUGAAAGGCGGCUUCGGCUGUCACUUACGGAUGGGCCCGCGGCGCAUUAGCUAGUUGGUGAGGUAACGGCUCACCAAGGCGACGAUGCGUAGCCGACCUGAGAGGGUGAUCGGCCACACUGGGACUGAGACACGGCCCAGACUCCUACGGGAGGCAGCAGUAGGGAAUCUUCCGCAAUGGACGAAAGUCUGACGGAGCAACKCCGCGUGAGCGAAGAAGGUCUUCGGAUUGUAAAGCUCUGUUGUUAGGGAAGAACAAGUAUGGUUCGAAUAGGGCCGUACCUUGACGGUACCUAACGAGAAAGCCACGGCUAACUACGUGCCAGCAGCCGCGGUA